UAUAUUUGCCGCUUGAAAGAAAACCUUUCAUAUACAUAAAAAUCAUUUUAAAAAUAUUAGCAUG
RNAcentral lists this non-coding RNA (64 nucleotides) under Neotamlana sedimentorum. Its description in RNAcentral is "S15-Flavobacteria ribosomal protein leader". It matches the Rfam family "S15-Flavobacteria ribosomal protein leader". Lineage: Bacteria; Pseudomonadati; Bacteroidota; Flavobacteriia; Flavobacteriales; Flavobacteriaceae. The record is from RNAcentral.